This 580-nucleotide ribosomal RNA is filed under the name uncultured Nitrosomonadaceae bacterium. RNAcentral's name for it is "bacterial SSU rRNA". It matches the Rfam family "Bacterial small subunit ribosomal RNA", at positions 790 to 1368 of the family's 1533-position model. Lineage: Bacteria; Pseudomonadati; Pseudomonadota; Betaproteobacteria; Nitrosomonadales; Nitrosomonadaceae. The record is from RNAcentral.
GUAGUCCACGCCCUAAACGAUGUCUACUAGUUGUUGGUGGAGUAAAAUCCAUGAGUAACGCAGCUAACGCGUGAAGUAGACCGCCUGGGGAGUACGGUCGCAAGAUUAAAACUCAAAUGAAUUGACGGGGGCCCGCACAAGCGGUGGAUUAUGUGGAUUAAUUCGAUGCAACGCGAAAAACCUUACCUGGCCUUGACAUGUAACGAACUUUCCAGAGAUGGAUUGGUGCUCGAAGGAGAACGUUAACACAGGUGAUGCAUGGCUGUCGUCAGCUCGUGUCGUGAGAUGUUGGGUUAAGUCCCGCAACGAGCGCAACCCUUGCCAUUAAUUGCCAUCAUUUAGUUGGGCACUUUAAUGGGACUGCCGGUGACAAACCAGAGGAAGGUGGGGAUGACGUCAAGUCCUCAUGGCCCUUAUGGCCAGGGCUUCACACGUAAUACAAUGGUCGGUACAGAGGGUUGCCAACCCGCGAGGGGGAGCCAAUCCCAGAAAGCCGAUCGUAGUCCGGAUUGUAGUCUGCAACUCGACUACAUGAAGUCGGAAUCGCUAGUAAUCGCGGAUCAGCAUGUCGCGGUGAAUA